CCUACGGGGGGCAGCAGUGAGGAAUCUUGGGCAAUGGGCGGGAGCCUGAACCAGCCAAGCCGCGUGAGGGAAGAAGGUACAGCGUAUCGUAAACCUCUUUUGUCAGGGAACAAAGGCGGGGACUAGUCCCCGGAUGAGGGUACCUGAAGAAAAAGCAUCGGCUAACUCCGUGCCAGCAGCCGCGGUAAUACGGGGGAUGCGAGCGUUAUCCGGAUUUAUUGGGUUUAAGGGGUGCGCAGGCGGCCUGUUAAGUCAGCGGUAAAAGCCCGGGGCUCAACCCCGGCGAGCCGUGGAAACUGGCGGGCUGGAGUUGGAGAGAAGUACGCGGAAUGCGAGGUGUAGCGGUGAAAUGCGUAGAUAUAUGGAAGAACACCGAUGGCGAAGGCAGCUUACUAAUCUGUGACUGACAUUGAUGCUCGAAAGUGUGGGUAUCAAACAGGAUUAGAUACCCUUGUAGUC
Molecule: ribosomal RNA, 459 nt
Filed under: uncultured bacterium
Lineage: Bacteria
Description: partial 16S ribosomal RNA
Rfam family: Bacterial small subunit ribosomal RNA
Source: RNAcentral